RNAcentral lists this ribosomal RNA (432 nucleotides) under uncultured bacterium. Its description in RNAcentral is "partial 16S ribosomal RNA". It matches the Rfam family "Bacterial small subunit ribosomal RNA", at positions 338 to 795 of the family's 1533-position model. The record is from RNAcentral.
CCUACGGGGAGCAGCAGUAGGGAAUAUUGGGCAAUGGAGGCAACUCUGACCCAGCCAUGCCGCGUGCAGGAUGAAGGCGUCAGCGUUGUAAACUGCUUUUACUGGUGAAGCGGUAUCCAGGGAAUAAGCACCGGCUAACUCCGUGCCAGCAGCCGCGGUAAUACGGAGGGUGCAAGCGUUGUCCGGAUUUAUUGGGUUUAAAGGGUGCGUAGGUGGUCAUUUAAGUCUGAUUUGAAAGCAGGCGGCUUAACCGUCUGAUGUGGUUGGAAACUGAAUGACUUGAAUGGGUUGGCGGUAGCCGGAAUGGGUCAUGUAGCGGUGAAAUGCAUAGAUAUGACCCGGAUCACCGAUUGCGAAGGCAGGCUACUACGACUUAUUGACACUGAGGCACGAGAGCAUGGGUAGCGAACAGGAUUAGAUACCCCUGUAGUC